Molecule: ribosomal RNA, 497 nt
Filed under: uncultured bacterium
Lineage: Bacteria
Description: partial 16S ribosomal RNA
Rfam family: Bacterial small subunit ribosomal RNA
Source: RNAcentral
GAUGAACGCUGGCGGCGUGCCUAAUACAUGCAAGUCGAGCGAACAGACGAGGAGCUUGCUCCUUUGACGUUAGCGGCGGACGGGUGAGUAACACGUGGGUAACCUACCUAUAAGACUGGGAUAACUUCGGGAAACCGGAGCUAAUACCGGAUAAUAUUUCGAACCGCAUGGUUCGAUAGUGAAAGAUGGCUUUGCUAUCACUUAUAGAUGGACCUGCGCCGUAUUAGCUAGUUGGUAAGGUAACGGCUUACCAAGGCAACGAUACGUAGCCGACCUGAGAGGGUGAUCGGCCACACUGGAACUGAGACACGGUCCAGACUCCUACGGGAGGCAGCAGUAGGGAAUCUUCCGCAAUGGGCGAAAGCCUGACGGAGCAACGCCGCGUGAGUGAUGAAGGUCUUCGGAUCGUAAAACUCUGUUAUUAGGGAAGAACAGACGUGUAAGUAGCUGUGCACGUCUUGACGGUACCUAAUCAGAAAGCCACGGCUAACUACGUG